CCAACAAGGCCUUUACUGACGCUAAAGCUCGAAGGUGCGGGUAUCGAACAGGAUUAGAUACCCUGGUAGUCCGCACGGUAAACGAUGGAUGCCCGCUGUUUGCGAUAUACUGUGAGCGGCCAAGAGAAAUCGUUAAGCAUCCCACCUGGGGAGUACGCCGGCAACGGUGAAACUCAAAGGAAUUGACGGGGGCCCGCACAAGCGGAGGAACAUGUGGUUUAAUUCGAUGAUACGCGAGGAACCUUACCCGGGCUUGAACUGCAGCGGAAGGAUACAGAGAUGUUGACGCCCUUCGGGGCCGCUGUGGAGGUGCUGCAUGGUUGUCGUCAGCUCGUGCCGUGAGGUGUCGGCUUAAGUGCCAUAACGAGCGCAACCCUUUUCAUUAGUUGCCAUCAGGUAAUGCUGGGCACUCUGGUGAUACUGCCACCGUAAGGUGUGAGGAAGGUGGGGAUGACGUCAAAUCAGCACGGCCCUUACGUCCGGGGCUACACACGUGUUACAAUGGGGGGUACAGAGAGUCGGAUGUACGCAAGUACAUUCUAAUCCUAAAAGCCUUCCUCAGUUCGGAUUGGGGUCUGCAACCCGACCCCAUGAAGCUGGA
This 601-nucleotide ribosomal RNA is filed under the name uncultured bacterium. Its description in RNAcentral is "bacterial SSU rRNA". It matches the Rfam family "Bacterial small subunit ribosomal RNA", at positions 725 to 1330 of the family's 1533-position model. The record is from RNAcentral.